GGAGAAGGAUGUCCAAAUGAAGUGCUUUUGACUCGAAUGCACAAAUGAGCGCUAGAGUCACUGGUGCAAGCCAACGGCAGAAGAGCUGAACAAAAUACUGACAGGAACUAGCUCAGGAACGAGAACCUGACAUAUACCCCGAUUUAAAUCAGAAGCUACACAGGAAAAACAAAAAGAUGAAUAAUCAGUAAACACAGAACAGGAAGGUGUCCCAGAUAUCUGUGACAAUGGACUUCAUGCACUCAACACCCACAGCUUUGUUUACAUAGCAGGAGACGG
This is a long non-coding RNA of Tachysurus vachellii, 279 nucleotides long. RefSeq lists it as uncharacterized. The record is from RefSeq and is a predicted model, not a curated record. NCBI's taxonomy places the organism in Eukaryota, Metazoa, Chordata, Actinopteri, Siluriformes, Bagridae. The transcript is spliced from 3 exons.